Molecule: long non-coding RNA, 255 nt
Filed under: Mytilus galloprovincialis (Mediterranean mussel)
Lineage: Eukaryota; Metazoa; Mollusca; Bivalvia; Mytilida; Mytilidae
Source: RNAcentral
GACAAAAUUAUUUUUAUGUCUACCUGUGGGUAUUUCAAACGCGCAAUUUUACACCAGCAAUGAUAACCUUCUAUCCUUUACGGGUAGACUUUAUAUAGAUAAAUUAAGUGGUAUAAGAAAAGCAAAAUGAGUAUGUUAAAUUUGAUGUUACCAUGUAUGCCUUUUUGUGCUUCUUCGUUACAUUUGUUGUUUUUAUAGUGAUGCAUGUAUGUAUGCCUUCAUACUUUGAACGACAAAAUUAUUUUUAUGUCUACC